RNAcentral lists this ribosomal RNA (1346 nucleotides) under uncultured bacterium. RNAcentral's name for it is "bacterial SSU rRNA". It matches the Rfam family "Bacterial small subunit ribosomal RNA", at positions 28 to 1366 of the family's 1533-position model. The record is from RNAcentral.
AUUGAACGCUGGCGGCAGGCCUAACACAUGCAAGUCGAACGGUAACAGGAAGCAGCUUGCUGCUUCGCUGACGAGUGGCGGACGGGUGAGUAAUGUCUGGGAAGCUGCCUGAUGGAGGGGGAUAACUACUGGAAACGGUAGCUAAUACCGCAUAAUGUCGCAAGACCAAAGAGGGGGACCUUCGGGCCUCUUGCCAUCGGAUGUGCCCAGAUGGGAUUAGCUUGUUGGUGGGGUAACGGCUCACCAAGGCGACGAUCCCUAGCUGGUCUGAGAGGAUGACCAGCCACACUGGAACUGAGACACGGUCCAGACUCCUACGGGAGGCAGCAGUGGGGAAUAUUGCACAAUGGGCGCAAGCCUGAUGCAGCCAUGCCGCGUGUAUGAAGAAGGCCUUCGGGUUGUAAAGUACUUUCAGCGGGGAGGAAGGGAGUAAAGUUAAUACCUUUGCUCAUUGACGUUACCCGCAGAAGAAGCACCGGCUAACUCCGUGCCAGCAGCCGCGGUAAUACGGAGGGUGCAAGCGUUAAUCGGAAUUACUGGGCGUAAAGCGCACGCAGGCGGUUUGUUAGGUCAGAUGUGAAAUCCCCGGGCUCAACCUGGGAACUGCAUCUGAUACUGGCAAGCUUGAGUCUCGUAGAGGGGGGUAGAAUUCCAGGUGUAGCGGUGAAAUGCGUAGAGAUCUGGAGGAAUACCGGUGGCGAAGGCGGCCCCCUGGACGAAGACUGACGCUCAGGUGCGAAAGCGUGGGGAGCAAACAGGAUUAGAUACCCUGGUAGUCCACGCCGUAAACGAUGUCGACUUGGAGGUUGUGCCCUUGAGGCGUGGCUUCCGGAGCUAACGCGUUAAGUCGACCGCCUGGGGAGUACGGCCGCAAGGUUAAAACUCAAAUGAAUUGACGGGGGCCCGCACAAGCGGUGGAGCAUGUGGUUUAAUUCGAUGCAACGCGAAGAACCUUACCUGGUCUUGACAUCCACGGAAGUUUUCAGAGAUGAGAAUGUGCCUUCGGGAACCGUGAGACAGGUGCUGCAUGGCUGUCGUCAGCUCGUGUUGUGAAAUGUUGGGUUAAGCACGGAACGCAGCCCAUCCCUUUCUUUGGCUUCCAUCCGUCCGGGGGGGCACUCAGAGGAGACCACCAGUAACAAACAGGAGGAAGGGGGGGAUGACAUCAAAUCAUCAUCCCCCCGACCAGCAGGGCUCCACACGUGCAACAAUGCACAAAACAAAAAGCAGCGUCGCGAGAGCAGCGAGCACAUCAUCAAAAGCGUGGUAGUCUGGAGAGGAGUCUGCAGCAUCUCCUCCACAGGAUGUGGGUAGCUAUUGAAGGUGGAGAUCAACACCACGCGGAA